RNAcentral lists this transfer-messenger RNA (379 nucleotides) under Lachnospiraceae. Its description in RNAcentral is "CAG-510 sp014804445 Standard tmRNA". It matches the Rfam family "transfer-messenger RNA". From Rfam's summary of the family: Bacterial tmRNA, also known as 10Sa RNA or SsrA, is named for its dual tRNA and mRNA-like properties. RNAcentral also lists the same sequence under 1 other name. The record is from RNAcentral. Lineage: Bacteria; Bacillati; Bacillota; Clostridia; Lachnospirales.
GGGCUAGUCAAGGUUUCGACAGGGGUCUUGCAGCUGGAGAAGCUAUCCGCAGGCGAUGCGUCAAAUCGCAAAUUAAAUAUAAACGCUGAAGAUAAUUUAGCUCUCGCAGCCUAAGCUGCGGGUAAUGCCGUUUUUUAGCGGCUGUCCGCUCCGGAGCACCCCCACGCCGGAGUACGGGCAUCGACUAUGGGGGAAACGGCAUACGGUAAGCUUUGCCCGUAUGGACGUAUCAUGAAGCUACUGAACAUGGCAGGGUGUCAGUUACCGGCCAUGGGAGGGAACGCGCCAAAGUAAGUUUGGCAAAAAACAACUGACUAUGAUAGUAGAAGGACAGGGAAUAGGCUUUUGGACACGGGUUCGACUCCCGUCUAGUCCAUUA